AUUGAACGCUGGCGGCAGGCCUAACACAUGCAAGUCGAGCGGUAGAGAGAAGCUUGCUUCUCUUGAGAGCGGCGGACGGGUGAGUAAUGCCUAGGAAUCUGCCUGGUAGUGGGGGAUAACGUUCGGAAACGGACGCUAAUACCGCAUACGUCCUACGGGAGAAAGCAGGGGACCUUCGGGCCUUGCGCUAUCAGAUGAGCCUAGGUCGGAUUAGCUAGUUGGUGGGGUAAUGGCUCACCAAGGCGACGAUCCGUAACUGGUCUGAGAGGAUGAUCAGUCACACUGGAACUGAGACACGGUCCAGACUCAUACGGGAGGCAGCAGUGGGGAAUAUUGGACAAUGGGCGAAAGCCUGAUCCAGCCAUGCCGCGUGUGUGAAGAAGGUCUUCGGAUUGUAAAGCACUUUAAGUUGGGAGGAAGGGCAGUAAAUUAAUACUUUGCUGUUUUGACGUUACCGACAGAAUAGGCACCGGCUAACUCUGUG
This 484-nucleotide ribosomal RNA is filed under the name uncultured bacterium. Its description in RNAcentral is "partial 16S ribosomal RNA". It matches the Rfam family "Bacterial small subunit ribosomal RNA", at positions 30 to 507 of the family's 1533-position model. The record is from RNAcentral.